GCCAUGAUAGAGUCUUGCCCGGGCAUGCUGUUGCCUCGACAUGCUGGAGUCUUCGGAGAGCAGCUACUGGCCUUAUUCACUGGCUGUGACCCCGUGGCCGAACUGGUCAACAGGCCAGGGACAGGC
Molecule: small nucleolar RNA, 126 nt
Organism: Erinaceus europaeus (western European hedgehog)
Lineage: Eukaryota; Metazoa; Chordata; Mammalia; Eulipotyphla; Erinaceidae
Source: Ensembl